AGAGCAGUCUUGCUGCUGCAGGACUACACGAGGCUACAACAGGAGACUUUUAAUUUGGUUUAUCAGCAGGUCAUAUGAAUUUCAGCAAAGUGUUCCAGUCUACCUCAUCUUUUUUUUUUUUUUUUUUUUUUUCAUUUUUAGAAAAUAAAUCAGACUUCAUAACAUAGGCAAGAUGUUAUGAGAAACGCCCCUGAGUUCUGGUCUGAAAAUCACCAUGUCUCUGGAAAGGAGAAGGCUGGAGCACCCCUCCUACGAAGAGAGGCUGACGGAGCUGGGCUUGCUCAGCCUGGAGAAGAGAAGGCUCCAGAGAGACCUCACUGUGUUCAGCCAGUACUUAAAGGGAGAUUAUAAACAGGAGGGGAAUGAACUUUUAAAACAGGCCCCUCCAAAGCACAACAUUGAUGCCAAGACCACAAAUGGAAGCCACAAGGAGGAAAAUGAUAAGCAUCUUUGCAUUUCCUGGCACUCAGGCUGCCUCAGCAAGGAAUUCAUUCCCUGCCUGAACUGCUCAGCAAUAUGCACACCGUUUUACAUGUGAGUAAUGUGAGCCAUUUUGAUGCUCAAGUGUCCUGGCCAAAGUCUUGGAGGAGUCGUGGCCACAGAUGCAUAAACAGAGCUUGUAUGUCUUGUCUCUAAAUCAUGCUGACUAAGCACUAUGAGAAGUUUCUUGUCCCUCAUCAGCUCAGGUAGAUUCCUUUGUGCUAAAUCACUAGUAGUAAAAAGUAAAAAACAAUUAGAAUAAUUAACUCCUACAUAACCAUGUCAUGAUGCACUUUGCAAAGAUCUCCAAGAAUCCCUUAUCGCUGUUUUGCAUCUGGCUCAGCUGAAGCACUGGAAAGUGAAAUCAUUCAGCCCCAGGCCUGUCCUUUUCAGUCCUAGGUGUGUCUGAGUUCAGAGGCACUCUAAGGUCACCAUGAACUCUUGGAUCUCAGCUCUCUGCUGUCCAAGGUGCAGGACUGUCCUUAGGCAACACCAGGACACCAAAAACGGAGCCAAAACAUCCCUUGGGCAAGAGAAGGAGGAUGAGCUGGUGCAUUGCGUGGCGGAUGAGAUAGGACUCGAUGCACAGUCCUGGACGAUGCCAUUUCUCCCAGCUCCAAGCAGAGGGUGGUUUCUGCAUCUCUAAACAUUUCUAUUUUAUUUUUUUUGUGGAUCUCAUAGUAGGCUGUUUUGGCUUACCUGACACCUCAUUUCCAUAAUCGUGCUGCUUUGCGUAACUGGGAACACUUGUUCUCACCAUGGGUAAAGCAAGCAUUAGCUGGCAUGGAUCUCAGCAGAUUAUGCACCUCAAGGA
Molecule: long non-coding RNA, 1294 nt
Filed under: Gallus gallus (chicken)
Lineage: Eukaryota; Metazoa; Chordata; Aves; Galliformes; Phasianidae
Description: lncRNA (ENSGALG00010007666.1)
Source: RNAcentral